This 397-nucleotide ribosomal RNA is filed under the name uncultured Glomeromycotina. RNAcentral's name for it is "SSU rRNA". It matches the Rfam family "Eukaryotic small subunit ribosomal RNA", at positions 569 to 970 of the family's 1831-position model. The record is from RNAcentral. Lineage: Eukaryota; Fungi; Glomeromycota.
AGCAGCCGCGGUAAUUCCAGCUCCAAUAGCGUAUAUUAAAGUUGUUGCAGUUAAAAAGCUCGUAGUUGAAUUUCGGGAUCAGUAAGCCGGUCGUACCUUCGGUAUGUACUGGUGUCACUGAUUCCUCCCUUCUGAUGAACCGUUAUACCAUUUAGUUGGUGUGGCGGGGAAUCAGGACUGUUACUUUGAAAAAUUAGAGUGUUUAAAGCAAGCUCGCGCUUGAAUACAUUAGCAUGGAAUAAUAAAUAGGACGUUUGAUCUCCUAUUUUGUUGGUUUCUAGGAUCGACGUAAUGAUUAAUAGGGAUAGUUGGGGCAUUAGUAUUCAAUUGUCAGAGGUGAAAUUCUUGGAUUUAUUGAAGACUAACUACUACGAAAGCAUUUUGCCAAGGAUGUUUU